GCAAGUCGUGGCAGCUGGAAGUUUGCUGGCAGCUAGAAGUUUGCUGGGGCCCCUUCGGCUGUGGCUCUCAACAAGUGAUGGUCACUGUGAUAAGUGCUUUCCACCAUUGAUAUUUAAUCCUAACAGCUGUUUUAUGAGAUAAGAAUGAUCACUAUGUCUCUGGUACAAAUCAGGAAAUAAAGACACAGAGAGCUUAAGUAAUGUGUUCAAACUCAGUCAGCUAUCAGGUAACAAAGGUAGGACACAAGUCUAGAAAGUCUAAGAAUCAUAAAUAAAUCAGAAAGAGGAAGAAAGGACAAUGUGAGAAAGGCACAGAGGAAUAAGCCACCAUGGGUGUGAAGGGAAAUCAUGGUAGUUAUACAGCAGAUAUAGGGCAUACUGUGCCCAUAUGUGCUCUCUGUGUUCUGGAGAGCUAUUCUUGCACUGUUGACCUGAAGGCAUUUCUCUAAGCCAAGGGAGCAGCUCUGACUUUGUAUGGUGGGCUAGAUGUGCUGGCAAUUAGCACAUUAGCACAUCAGGGUGUGCUGAUGGGAGUUGGUGUAUAAACAUCCCAGCUCCCUUGUUCUUCAGGUUGGAGCAUGUGUUUCUUGGCAUUGCCCUUAGGGAUUAAGCUUGUUGACAGCUGGCUUGAUAACACACCUCAGAUAGACCACAUCCCUUUGUAGCAUCACACUCCUUAUUCCUUACUGGUCUUGCUUUCACUUCCCAAAUAUAAACCUCUUCAACUUGAAUCCUUAUCCCAAGGUCUGCUUCCAGGGGAACACAAGCUAACACAAAUUUAGUAUUGCUAAAGUGUAGAAUAGGAGACUGAAGAGGGAUGGCAGGGUCAAUGCAGCCCAAAGUCUGCAAUGUACCGAUAGACAGAUGGUAGUUACUAGACCAAGACAUUGUAUAUUUAUGGACUCAGAGAAUAUAUAAUAUAUGUAUAUAUGCACUAUCACUUCAGAAAGUUCCUACGAGAUCAUUUGUCUGUCCCAUUUUACAAAUUAUCCACCCGAGAUCUAAAGUGAAAAAUUACUUCACAAAGGUCCCUUUGAUGCUUAGUUAUAAAGCCCAGGUUCUUAAUGCCUAAGUGCUCAUAGUAAGAGUCCUACUUACUGAAGCACUCUAAGGAGAUGUUUGUAAUAGUCUCUACACCACUUCUUCCACCUUUAUUAAACUCAUGAAGAUUAGGAUCUUGAAAAACUCAUUUUAGGGCUCUGUUUUUCUUGAAAAUUAGCAUGUGCUAACUAACCCACCAGAACUGGCUAGGACCCACAGUCUGAGAAAUGGAGAACCAUGCAUCAGUUUUCAACGUAGUGUUUAAUAUCUACCAGCCACUUGCUAAUUAUUCAUUUCAUUUCUAGGAGGUAAUGGUAGAAAAUUACACAAAGACAUGCUUCUAUGAGCACAAUAUAGCCUUAUCUGUAACAGCAAAAGAACAGAAAUCACCAGAAUACCCACCAAUGGAGUAAUACCCAAUGUUAUUGCAUAAAAUAAGGAGAGUCUAGAAAGAUAUCCUUGUUAAGUGAAAAAAGCAAUUUGCAAAUUGUAUAUAUCUUAUGAUGCCCCUCCCCUUUUUUAAAAGGAAAGCUUAUAUGUAGAUAUUUUGGUUUGUAAGUACAAGAAAAUUCUAGAAAGAUACUGGAACUGUAUGUGGUAGCAUAAUUUUUAGGGUAUUAGCUUGCAUUUGGCCUCCCUGCGUUUCUUUCCUCUGACCAUUGUAAGCAGAUGGUCAGGCUUUUUGUGGCCUCUUGCCAUAAGGAAGAUGUUUAUCUUAGGGCCAGAAGCCAGAGUUGUCUGCAAGACACUUCCGAUUCUGGUGCUGAAUUUUGUAAGACCUAAACCCAUCAAGGGGAUGACACCUGCUGCCCGAGAUGCUGGAGAGAGAAGAGAAGGUGUUUGAAAUGGGAUAGAAGUCUGAGUCUCAGAGCACUCUCAAGAGGAGGAAGACCUCAGACCCACCUAGGGAUUCCAAACCCUUACAUCUUGCUUUCAGAGAAGCAGCUGCAGAACCAGCACCACAAGAGGCCAUGCCAUCUGAGACCAUGGACAUCUAAAUAAAUUUUAAGCUAUUGGAGGACAUGGAACAGAAUGAUACCGUGAGCUCAGGCUGAAAUGUGUCUAUUGAAAGCCUUGGAUAGUAAUCAGAAUCCCAAAGUCCUUACGGUUCCUGUAACUAUGAACACUUCAUCAUCCAGGGACAGAAAAUGUGGGCUUCUCAUUUCUUCUGCUACAGCCUCCUGAACGACUGACAUGGAUAUAGGAUUUCCAUUGGCAUUUGUCUGACAAGAUGACAGAAAGCAAUUCUCCAUUAAGCCCUCAGUUAUCAACUGACAUAAGGGGUCAAUGGGGGCCAUUGGACCAGAAGACAUCAGAACAAAAUACUGAAAAGUUGACUCUUCUCUUGAAGCCAAC
Non-coding RNA from Ictidomys tridecemlineatus (thirteen-lined ground squirrel), 2397 nucleotides. NCBI's taxonomy places the organism in Eukaryota, Metazoa, Chordata, Mammalia, Rodentia, Sciuridae. The record is from RefSeq and is a predicted model, not a curated record.